GGAGAGGUGCCGGAGUGGUCGAACGGGGCGGUCUCGAAAACCGUUGUACACGCAAGUGUACCGAGGGUUCGAAUCCCUCCCUCUCCGCCA
RNAcentral lists this transfer RNA (90 nucleotides) under Ectothiorhodospira sp. PHS-1. RNAcentral describes it as "tRNA-Ser". It matches the Rfam family "tRNA". Rfam says of the family: Transfer RNA (tRNA) molecules are approximately 80 nucleotides in length. Their secondary structure includes four short double-helical elements and three loops (D, anti-codon, and T loops). The record is from RNAcentral. Lineage: Bacteria; Pseudomonadati; Pseudomonadota; Gammaproteobacteria; Chromatiales; Ectothiorhodospiraceae.